Molecule: unclassified non-coding RNA, 231 nt
Filed under: Chaetomium angustispirale
Lineage: Eukaryota; Fungi; Ascomycota; Sordariomycetes; Sordariales; Chaetomiaceae
Description: partial internal transcribed spacer region
Rfam family: Eukaryotic small subunit ribosomal RNA (bases 1-48)
Source: RNAcentral
AAAAGUCGUAACAAGGUCUCCGUUGGUGAACCAGCGGAGGGAUCAUUACAGAGUUGCAAAACUCCCUAAACCAUUGUGAACGUUACCUACACCGUUGCUUCGGCGGGCGGCCCCGGGGUUUACCCCCCGGGCGCCCGCCGGAGGUCACCAAACUCUUGAUACUUUAUGGCCUCUCUGAGUCUUCUGUACUGAAUAAGUCAAAACUUUCAACAACGGAUCUCUUGGUUCUGG